GAGUUUGAUCAUGGCUCAGAUUGAACGCUGGCGGCAUGCCUUACACAUGCAAGUCGAACGGCAGCACGGGUGCUUGCACCUGGUGGCGAGUGGCGAACGGGUGAGUAAUACAUCGGAACAUGUCCUGUAGUGGGGGAUAGCCCGGCGAAAGCCGGAUUAAUACCGCAUACGAUCUGAGGAUGAAAGCGGGGGACCUUCGGGCCUCGCGCUAUAGGGUUGGCCGAUGGCUGAUUAGCUAGUUGGUGGGGUAAAGGCCUACCAAGGCGACGAUCAGUAGCUGGUCUGAGAGGACGACCAGCCACACUGGGACUGAGACACGGCCCAGACUCCUACGGGAGGCAGCAGUGGGGAAUUUUGGACAAUGGGCGAAAGCCUGAUCCAGCAAUGCCGCGUGUGUGAAGAAGGCCUUCGGGUUGUAAAGCACUUUUGUCCGGAAAGAAAUCCUUGGUUCUAAUAUAGCCGGGGGAUGACGGUACCGGAAGAAUAAGCACCGGCUAACUACGUGCCAGCAGCCGCGGUAAUACGUAGGGUGCAAGCGUUAAUCGGAAUUACUGGGCGUAAAGCGUGCGCAGGCGGUUUGCUAAGACCGAUGUGAAAUCCCCGGGCUCAACCUGGGAACUGCAUUGGUGACUGGCAGCUAGAGUAUGGCAGAGGGGGUAGAAUUCCACGUGUAGCAGUGAAAUGCGUAGAGAUGUGGAGGAU
This 702-nucleotide ribosomal RNA is filed under the name uncultured Burkholderia sp. RNAcentral describes it as "bacterial SSU rRNA". It matches the Rfam family "Bacterial small subunit ribosomal RNA", at positions 9 to 706 of the family's 1533-position model. The record is from RNAcentral. Lineage: Bacteria; Pseudomonadati; Pseudomonadota; Betaproteobacteria; Burkholderiales; Burkholderiaceae.